GCCCUAGUAGCUUAGCUUAAAGCGCCGGUCUUGUAAUCCGGAGAUCGAAGGUUAAAAUCCUUCCUAGCGCC
RNAcentral lists this transfer RNA (71 nucleotides) under Silurus asotus (Amur catfish). Its description in RNAcentral is "tRNA-Thr". It matches the Rfam family "tRNA". Rfam says of the family: Transfer RNA (tRNA) molecules are approximately 80 nucleotides in length. Their secondary structure includes four short double-helical elements and three loops (D, anti-codon, and T loops). Further hydrogen bonds mediate the characteristic L-shaped molecular structure. tRNAs have two regions of fundamental functional importance: the anti-codon, which is responsible for specific mRNA codon recognition, and the 3' end, to which the tRNAs corresponding amino acid is attached (by aminoacyl-tRNA synthetases). tRNAs cope with the degeneracy of the genetic code in two manners: having more than one tRNA (with a specific anti-codon) for a particular amino acid; and 'wobble' base-pairing, i.e. permitting non-standard base-pairing at the 3rd anti-codon position. RNAcentral also lists the same sequence under 5 other names. Lineage: Eukaryota; Metazoa; Chordata; Actinopteri; Siluriformes; Siluridae. The record is from RNAcentral.